CUACGGGCGGCACCAGUCGAGAAGCUUCGGCAAUGGACGAAAGUCUGACCGAGCGACGCCGCGUGAGCGAUGAAGGCCCCAGUGGUCGUAAAGCUCUGUCAGGAGGGAAUAAAUACCUGCGGCGAAUAACCGCAGGGGCUGAAGGUACCUCCAGAGGAAGCGCCAGCUAACUACGUGCCAGCAGCCGCGGUAAUACGUAGGGCGCAAACGUUGUUCGGAUUUACUGGGUAUAAGGGGUUCGUAGGCGGGCUGGUAAGUCAGAGGUGAAAGCCAACGGCUCAACCGUUGAAUUGCCUCUGAUACUGUCAGCCUUGAGUCCGUUAGGGGAUGGUGGAAUUCCUGGUGUAGCGGUGAAAUGCGUAAAUAUCAGGAGGAACACCGGUGGCGAAGGCGGCCAUCUGGGACGGUACUGACGCUGAGGAACGAAAGCAUGGGUAUCAAACGGGAUUAGAUACCCGGGUAGUC
Molecule: ribosomal RNA, 465 nt
Filed under: uncultured bacterium
Lineage: Bacteria
Description: partial 16S ribosomal RNA
Rfam family: Bacterial small subunit ribosomal RNA
Source: RNAcentral